RNAcentral lists this ribosomal RNA (514 nucleotides) under Fusarium sp. SIN84. Its description in RNAcentral is "eukaryotic LSU rRNA". The stretch from base 158 to 311 matches the Rfam family "5.8S ribosomal RNA". The record is from RNAcentral. Lineage: Eukaryota; Fungi; Ascomycota; Sordariomycetes; Hypocreales; Nectriaceae.
CAUUACCGAAGUUAUUCAACUCAUCAACCCUGUGAACAUACCUAAACGUUUGCUUCGGCGGGAAUAGACGGCCCCGUGAAACGGGCCGCCCCCGCCAGAGGACCCUUAACUCUGUUUCUAUAAUGUUUCUUCUGAGUAAAACAAGCAAAUAAAUUAAAACUUUCAACAACGGAUCUCUUGGCUCUGGCAUCGAUGAAGAACGCAGCGAAAUGCGAUAAGUAAUGUGAAUUGCAGAAUUCAGUGAAUCAUCGAAUCUUUGAACGCACAUUGCGCCCGCCAGUAUUCUGGCGGGCAUGCCUGUUCGAGCGUCAUUACAACCCUCAGGCCCCCGGGCCUGGCGUUGGGGAUCGGCGGAGCCCCCCGUGGGCACACGCCGUCCCCCAAAUACAGUGGCGGUCCCGCCGCAGCUUCCAUCGCGUAGUAGCUAACACCUCGCGACUGGAGAGCGGCGCGGCCACGCCGUAAAACACCCAACUCUUCUGAAGUUGACCUCGAAUCAGGUAGGAAUACCCGC